ACACUGCAGUCGAGCGGAGAGAGUAGCUUGCUACUGAUCUUAGCGGCGGACGGGUGAGUAAUGCUUAGGAAUCUGCCUAUUAGUGGGGGACAACAUUUCGAAAGGAAUGCUAAUACCGCAUACGUCCUACGGGAGAAAGCAGGGGAUCUUCGGACCUUGCGCUAAUAGAUGAGCCUAAGUCGGAUUAGCUAGUUGGUGGGGUAAAGGCCUACCAAGGCGACGAUCUGUAGCGGGUCUGAGAGGAUGAUCCGCCACACUGGGACUGAGACACGGCCCAGACUCCUACGGGAGGCAGCAGUGGGGAAUAUUGGACAAUGGGCGGAAGCCUGAUCCAGCCAUGCCGCGUGUGUGAAGAAGGCCUUAUGGUUGUAAAGCACUUUAAGCGAGGAGGAGGCUACUUUAGUUAAUACCUAGAGAUAGUGGACGUUACUCGCAGAAUAAGCACCGGCUAACUCUGUGCCAGCAGCCGCGGUAAUACAGAGGGUGCAAGCGUUAAUCGGAUUUACUGGGCGUAAAGCGCGCGUAGGCGGCUAAUUAAGUCAAAUGUGAAAUCCCCGAGCUUAACUUGGGAAUUGCAUUCGAUACUGGUUAGCUAGAGUGUGGGAGAGGAUGGUAGAAUUCCAGGUGUAGCGGUGAAAUGCGUAGAGAUCUGGAGGAAUACCGAUGGCGAAGGCGGCCAUCUGGCCUAACACUGACGCUGAGGUGCGAAAGCAUGGGGAGCAAACG
Molecule: ribosomal RNA, 726 nt
Filed under: Acinetobacter calcoaceticus
Lineage: Bacteria; Pseudomonadati; Pseudomonadota; Gammaproteobacteria; Moraxellales; Moraxellaceae
Description: bacterial SSU rRNA
Rfam family: Bacterial small subunit ribosomal RNA
Source: RNAcentral